ACUCCAGGAGCCACAGUUUGCUCUGUGUGUGCAUCUGGGUGCUGACAAGCCAUUGCAUUCAGAGCGAGCUGUUUGCACUGGUGU
Molecule: microRNA precursor, 84 nt
Organism: Gallus gallus (chicken)
Lineage: Eukaryota; Metazoa; Chordata; Aves; Galliformes; Phasianidae
Source: Ensembl